Molecule: small RNA, 544 nt
Filed under: Pan troglodytes (chimpanzee)
Lineage: Eukaryota; Metazoa; Chordata; Mammalia; Primates; Hominidae
Description: processed transcript
Source: RNAcentral
AGGGUGACAGGGACACAACAUGGCGGCGGGAUCCCUAACGCUCUCCUUCGAGGGACCACCACGGAGAUCUUAGUGCGGGACCCCGCCUCAGGGAAGUGGAAAGAAGGGGGACAACCUUCCUGCUUCUUUCUUUUCCGUCCAGUGUCGGCAAGGGGUUGUCACCGGCUUCCGCAUCCAAGAUGAAGAACUAUAAAGCAAUUGGCAAAAUAGGAGAGGGAACGUUUUCUGAAGUUAUGAAGAUGCAAAGCCUGAGAGAUGGAAACUACUAUGCAUGUAAACAAAUGAAGCAGCGCUUUGAAAGUAUUGAGCAAGUCAACAACCUACGAGAGAUCCAAGCACUGAGGCGCCUGAAUCCGCACCCAAACAUUCUUAUGUUGCAUGAAGUGGUUUUUGACAGAAAAUCUGGUUCUCUUGCACUGAUAUGUGAACUUAUGGACAUGAAUAUUUAUGAGCUAAUACGAGGCCAGGCAGUGUGUUCAGUGCACCAACUCUGAGAUGCUGUGAGCAACACGGAGCAUCCUAGGUUCAGAGAUGUUAAAAUGUA